UACGUAGGGGGCAAGCGUUGUCCGGAAUCAUUGGGCGUAAAGAGCGUGUAGGCGGCCCGGUAAGUCCGCUGUGAAAGUCCAGGGCUCAACCCUGGGAUGCCGGUGGAUACUGUCGGGCUAGAGUCCGGAAGAGGAGUGUGGAAUUCCUGGUGUAGCGGUGAAAUGCGCAGAUAUCAGGAGGAACACCAAUGGCGAAGGCAGCACUCUGGGACGUGACUGACGCUGAGACGCGAAAGCGUGGGGAGCAAACAGG
This 253-nucleotide ribosomal RNA is filed under the name uncultured bacterium. Its description in RNAcentral is "partial 16S ribosomal RNA". It matches the Rfam family "Bacterial small subunit ribosomal RNA", at positions 524 to 776 of the family's 1533-position model. The record is from RNAcentral.